RNAcentral lists this long non-coding RNA (473 nucleotides) under Homarus americanus (American lobster). RNAcentral describes it as "uncharacterized LOC121857599". The record is from RNAcentral. Lineage: Eukaryota; Metazoa; Arthropoda; Malacostraca; Decapoda; Nephropidae.
GGGAGUGUGGGCCGCCUGUAUAUAAAGCCUGGUAGACGGACGUCAACACAGAACACUGGCACGCGACGACGCUACAACAUCUUCUGUACUAACACGCUCAUCAAACGACCAUGAACCCUAUACGAGUUGACCGAGGUAGCUGCAGUGUCACCACAAGAACAAUUCGGAGCGUCUACAAAAGUUCUCUUGCUUUGCUUUUUACCUGUUGAUGGAGAACUCGAUCGCAACAAUUCCUUUCCUACUCCAGUUCUACCGCGGUUAGUGGAUCCUUCCCACAGCAUUACAGUGAGUUUCCUAGUGUUAAACUACAAGAAAUUGGUCUCCAAAAAAACUGCUUUGUUAUUUCUUCUACCCCAUUUGUGGGUCAUGAGCUGUAUUGCAUUACAUUCUGUGCAAGUAAAGUCAAACUUGUACAUAUUGAAUAUCCAGUAUAUGUAACCAAUAAAGUUUUUCUAUUUAUGGAAUAAUCCAAA